AUUUUAUUAAUAAAGUAUAUUUUUACAAAAAAAAGUUUAACUGAGGUGUAAUUAUUGCUUAUUGAAAACUUUUCCCAAUACCCCGCUGUGGUGACUUGCAACAAAGUCAGUAUUAGCAAUCUUUGGUAGUCUCUUUGGAGA
Molecule: small nuclear RNA, 141 nt
Organism: Carcharodon carcharias (great white shark)
Lineage: Eukaryota; Metazoa; Chordata; Chondrichthyes; Lamniformes; Lamnidae
Product: U4 spliceosomal RNA
Exons: 1
Source: RefSeq, a predicted model, not a curated record